This 265-nucleotide ribosomal RNA is filed under the name uncultured bacterium. Its description in RNAcentral is "partial 16S ribosomal RNA". It matches the Rfam family "Bacterial small subunit ribosomal RNA", at positions 793 to 1055 of the family's 1533-position model. The record is from RNAcentral.
GUCCACGCCGUAAACGAUGGAUGCUAGUCGUCGCGGGUAUUGACCCCUGCGGCAACGCAGUUAACGCAUUAAGCAUCCCGCCUGGGGAGUACGGCCGCAAGGCUAAAACUCAAAGGAAUUGACGGGGGCCCGCACAAGCGGUGGAGCAUGUGGUUCAAUUCGACGCAACGCGCAGAACCUUACCUGGGUUAAAUCCACCGGAACCCUUAAGAGAUGAGGGGGUGCCCGCAAGGGAGCCGGUGAGAAGGUGCUGCAUGGCUGUCGU